This 1121-nucleotide long non-coding RNA is filed under the name Aquilegia coerulea. Its description in RNAcentral is "long non-coding RNA (ACOE_LNC002170)". Lineage: Eukaryota; Viridiplantae; Streptophyta; Magnoliopsida; Ranunculales; Ranunculaceae. The record is from RNAcentral.
AUUUGGUAAGUUUUCUAAGCAGAAAGUCUGAAACUUGAGUACAAGUGUGUAUUACCAUUUUGACAAAAGCAAACAGCAGAAGCUGUAAAACAUCUGACUUGUACAAAUGUUGGGAAUCUGCAAGAAUCUUAAUUUUUGGAAGUGAUUGCUCAUCCUGGUUUGGUACAGUAGUAAACCACAUAAUGAAAAGCGUUUAUCGCCAAUUUAUCAAAUUUUCAGAGAAGUUGAGUUUAGUCACCAAAAGUAGGACUAAGUCUGAGUUUACUCACAAAACUACAAAUUAGACACAUAAUAGACAACCUGCCACAUGAAGUAGUCAAGUAGCACUGUUGGUUUGUUAAAGUAGAAUCAGAUCUUUUGCAUCAAUGUCCUCAUAAUACUUGGAAUCUCUGCAAACUGCUUUCAUCUCAACCUAUUCCGUUAGCCACUGGAUCAGCUUCAUCACAACUUAGAUCAACUCAUUUUCUGCUGUAAACCUGCACAUCCAUUGUCAACAUGAUUACAACUCAAAACAGGUUCUUUUUAUCAAAGCAGGUUCUAGUGCAACAAUAUUUGCCAAAAUCGGAAACUUAAUUAACAAGUAAAAAUAAACUAACGAUAAACUAUUACGGAUUAUAUAGUAUUCAGUUCUAAUCUUGUAAAACCAUAGAUACUAUUACAGCAGAGUGGAAACACUAAUGAAAGAACAUUACAACUGUGGUCCAAGGUACUAUUCUGAUAUAUGUAGAUGAUAAUUGUUAUCAUAAUCUAAAAGCAGAUUCUAAGAAGCAAUUAACAAAGCUGUCAAAACAUAACUGCGUAUAUUUUUUCUGGGAUGUUUGAUCGUAAAUAUUCUGGGAAGUGACUUGAACUCCAACAUGAAUCCAAACUGACUCUGUACCACGAGGCAUUUGAUGUGAACUUCAAUUCAAAUAUCACAAAGUUUGUUAUAGUAACAGUUCAGAUAGCACUAUAACAGAAGAGGAAGAAAAUAUAUGAAAAGUAAUGACAUGGGAAUUUUUAUACAAGACAGUUUGGUUAGGGAAUUGGUACUUACAAACCCAACAGUUAAUAAUCCUGUGCCACACAAUUUGAAUCUCUAGGAAGCAUUUGUAACUGUUUAGUAAUCAUUUCCUUCAUUU